Molecule: long non-coding RNA, 213 nt
Filed under: Nicotiana benthamiana
Lineage: Eukaryota; Viridiplantae; Streptophyta; Magnoliopsida; Solanales; Solanaceae
Description: long non-coding RNA (NBEN_LNC005426)
Source: RNAcentral
AUGGAUCUGGUUUGCUUAUCGAGUCAGCUAGGAUUGAAGGUUGUAUUAGCUGACUGAUUUGCAUUUUGUUGGUUUUGCACUGGAGUUUACUGUUCUAUUGGGUUUGGGAUAUUCUGUAGUUUCUCCACUGAUUCGGAGUUGUGUUAUGUUUGUUCAACUUCCGCUGAAACUCAACCUCUGAUCUCUCUUUGUUUCCUAUUUCCUUUAAUUUUA